This 1044-nucleotide long non-coding RNA is filed under the name Equus caballus (horse). Its description in RNAcentral is "lncRNA (ENSECAG00000056110.1)". Lineage: Eukaryota; Metazoa; Chordata; Mammalia; Perissodactyla; Equidae. The record is from RNAcentral.
AAACCUCUGAGGGCAAAGCUGAGGGGAAGACUGGGGAGCAGGUGCGGAGUCAGAGAGAGUCCUGGAGAUGAAGGGUGCCUGUUGGGGGCCACUUGGACAGUGCGUGGGGAUAGCUGGGACUGUUGGGGCGUGGGCCUGGCCUGUGGGGACUUAAGGACCCCAGGAAGGGCCUGUGCUCUUCCCGCCUUGGCCGGGACUUUGGGGCCUGCAGGAGAGGCCGUGUUCUCAGGCCCCCUCCCUUGGGAGGAGGUGGGCCUGCCCUGCUUGUCCUAGGGGCUGGUCCUGGGGGUCACGUGGCUUCUGCAGAGGUGCGGCCAGCUAGGCGGGUCUACUGGCCUGGCUGUCCCUCCGUCUGCAGGCCCCAGGGCCUGUCUUCACCGUGCAGGAGCUGGGGGUGGGCAGAAGGCAGUGAAGGAGUUGCCCCUCAGUGGGAACAGGCACCAGGUCCACAAAAAACACCUGCACGACAUUCGUAGCAGCUUCCUCGUCACUGCCAGACGCGGGACAGCAGCAGCGUAGCUGGCCCGGCAAACGGAAGACAGGCUGGGGCAUCUUCUCGCCGUGGAGGAUGACGCCACGUGAGAAAGAGCCAGCACCGUGCGCGGAGAAUUAACCCUGUGACAUGAUGAACCCCCAAAACAUCACGCUGAGUGAAAGGGCCAGACACAGAAGGCCGCGGAGUGAGUGACUCAGUUGACGUGCAAGUCCAGGACAGGAACGUCCACAGAGACACCUGCAGGACGCAGCCGCCUGGCCCACCUCCUGCCAGAGUCGCCCCCAUCACACCACCAGGAACAAACCCCCGGCUGACAGGGAUUGCUGCCUCGGAGCCGAGCAGGGAAGAGGAGCGAAGCCAUCUGCUCUCCCUGAUGGGAUGUGAUUCCCCUCCGCCCACGUCCUCCGGCAGCCGCCACACUGGAUAAAUCGUUGCAAAUGGGUUUUCCCGGCCAGUCACUGGGCUGUUUUAAUAACGGUUCAUUUUCUGCCCCGGGGAAAAAAUAUUCCAUCAAGAAAUCGGGGAUAGGGCCGGGUGGAGGAGGGGGG